Molecule: ribosomal RNA, 532 nt
Filed under: uncultured bacterium
Lineage: Bacteria
Description: bacterial SSU rRNA
Rfam family: Bacterial small subunit ribosomal RNA
Source: RNAcentral
AAUAGAUACCCUGGUAGUCCACGCUGUAAACGAUGAUCACUAGACGUUACUUCUGUUCGUGCAGAAGUAGUGUCGUAGCUAACGCGAUAAGUGAUCCGCCUGGGAAGUACGGUCGCAAGAUUAAAACUUAAAGGAAUUGACGGGGGUCCGCACAAGCGGUGGAACAUGUGGUUUAAUUCGACACUACGCGAGGAACCUUACCUAGGCUUGACAUAUUUUUGACUGCCAUAGAAAUGUGGCUUUCUCUGGGUAACCAGAGACAAUUAUACAGGUGCUGCAUGGCUGUCGUCAGCUCGUGUCGUGAGAUGUUGGGUUAAGUCCUUUAACGAGCGCAACUCCUGCCAUUAGUUGCCACUCCGUGAGGAAGCACUCUAAUGGGACUGCCUGGGCAACCAGGAGGAAGGUGGGAAUGACGUCAAGUCCGCAUGGCCUUUAUGCCUAGGGCAACACACGUGUUACAAUGGCCGAUACAAAGGGUUGCCAACCCGGAGAGGGGGAGCUAAUCUCAUAAAGUCGGUCUAAGUUCGGAUUG